AACUUCCUGCCUGGUGCGUGGACCGUUGCAAAAUAACCCUACAAUUUUAAAUCGGGAGCCUGGGCUCCGGCGGCGGACUGCAGACCUCCCGGCCUUGUGCCGGACGAAGGGAGCACGAACCCGCUGGGAGGGCACCCACCUGCUUAGUGGUAGCAGGUUAUCUUGGCACAUUACGGCCAGGCGGGCCUUUU
RNAcentral lists this non-coding RNA (191 nucleotides) under Clostridiales bacterium. Its description in RNAcentral is "6S". It matches the Rfam family "6S / SsrS RNA". From Rfam's summary of the family: E. coli 6S RNA was the first non coding RNA to be sequenced, but its function was unknown until recently. It consists of 184 nucleotides that fold into an extended hairpin structure with a large single-stranded internal bulge. RNAcentral also lists the same sequence under 1 other name. Lineage: Bacteria; Bacillati; Bacillota; Clostridia; Eubacteriales. The record is from RNAcentral.